UAGGGAAUCUUCCACAGUGGACGCAAGUCUGAUGGAGCAGCGCCGCGUGAGUGAAGAAGGGUUUCGGCUCGUAAAGCUCUGUUGUUAAAGAAGAACGUGGGUAAGAGUAACUGUUUACCCAGUGACGGUAUUUAACCAGAAAGCCACGGCUAACUACGUUCCAG
This 164-nucleotide ribosomal RNA is filed under the name uncultured bacterium. Its description in RNAcentral is "partial 16S rRNA". It matches the Rfam family "Bacterial small subunit ribosomal RNA", at positions 355 to 511 of the family's 1533-position model. The record is from RNAcentral.